GGCUGGAUAGCUCAGUUGGUAGAGCAACGGACUGAAAAUCCGUGUGUCCUCGGUUCGAUCCCGAGUCCAGCCACCA
RNAcentral lists this transfer RNA (76 nucleotides) under Pedosphaera sp. Its description in RNAcentral is "tRNA-Phe". It matches the Rfam family "tRNA". Rfam says of the family: Transfer RNA (tRNA) molecules are approximately 80 nucleotides in length. Lineage: Bacteria; Pseudomonadati; Verrucomicrobiota; Pedosphaerae; Pedosphaerales; Pedosphaeraceae. RNAcentral also lists the same sequence under 1 other name. The record is from RNAcentral.